Molecule: ribosomal RNA, 33 nt
Filed under: uncultured Melampsora
Lineage: Eukaryota; Fungi; Basidiomycota; Pucciniomycetes; Pucciniales; Melampsoraceae
Description: partial 28S ribosomal RNA
Source: RNAcentral
CCGCUGAACUUAAGCAUAUCAAUAAGUGGAGGA